UGGUGCGAUCAUACCAGCACUAAUGCACCGGAUUCCAUCAGAACUCCAAAGUUAAGCGUGCUUGGGCGAGAGUAGUACUAGGAUGGGUGACUUCUUAAGAAAUCCACGUGUUGCACCCC
This 119-nucleotide ribosomal RNA is filed under the name Nelumbo nucifera (sacred lotus). Lineage: Eukaryota; Viridiplantae; Streptophyta; Magnoliopsida; Proteales; Nelumbonaceae. The record is from RNAcentral.